CUCAAUGUAGCAAAUUUUAUGCGAUGGCUUUAAGCGCCAUAAAAAGAUGUUUUCU
RNAcentral lists this transfer RNA (55 nucleotides) under Mesobuthus gibbosus (Mediterranean checkered scorpion). Its description in RNAcentral is "transfer RNA-Leu". The record is from RNAcentral. Lineage: Eukaryota; Metazoa; Arthropoda; Arachnida; Scorpiones; Buthidae.